This is a long non-coding RNA of Cynoglossus semilaevis (tongue sole), 573 nucleotides long. RefSeq lists it as uncharacterized. NCBI's taxonomy places the organism in Eukaryota, Metazoa, Chordata, Actinopteri, Pleuronectiformes, Cynoglossidae. The record is from RefSeq and is a predicted model, not a curated record. The transcript has 2 exons.
AAAGCAAAAAAACAAAACAAAAAUAAGUUCUGUCUCAAAGGCAGGCCGAGUUAAAAAUAGCUCUGGCCGCUCUUUUUCUCUGCUUCUCCGUUUACAUAAGCACACAGGGGGGGAGGGGAGCACUUCCGGUCUGGCCACCCAGCCCAGCAUCAGAUCCAUAACACAUAACACGCCUGCUGGGUGUGAGACGACAGGAGCGAGAAGGAGAGGAGAGGACAGAAGAAGAGAGGAGAGGAUAAGAGUGGAGUCGAUAGGGGAGAGGAAGAGGAGAGAGAGAAAAAGGAGACGAGGAAAGAAAAGAGGUCCAGAGAAGAGGACUAGAACGCAGUAGAGCCACUUAUGUCCACUUGUCUCCUCAGUCUAUUCUCUCACAUUUGCUCAGAGCUCCGUCUCUUCACCAUCACUUUUGUAACAAAGAUGAGUUUUUAUUAACUUAUACUUUCAGUAUAAUUAUUUUUUUACAUUAUAAUCUCUCUAAUUCAGAAGAGAGAGAGAAGAAACUGAAGAGAAACAACAAGGGAAGAUCAAAAAAGUAAACGAUGAUUAUGGAAAAAAGGAGAGGUGCAGAAAAUU